UACGUAGGGCGCAAGCGUUAUCCGGAAUUAUUGGGCGUAAAGAGCUCGUAGGCGGUUUGUCGCGUCUGCCGUGAAAGUCCGGGGCUCAACUCCGGAUCUGCGGUGGGUACGGGCAGACUAGAGUGAUGUAGGGGAGACUGGAAUUCCUGGUGUAGCGGUGAAAAUGCGCAGAUAUCAGGAGGAACACCGAUGGCGAAGGCAGGUCUCUGGGCAUUAACUGACGCUGAGGAGCGAAAGCAU
RNAcentral lists this ribosomal RNA (240 nucleotides) under uncultured bacterium. Its description in RNAcentral is "partial 16S ribosomal RNA". It matches the Rfam family "Bacterial small subunit ribosomal RNA", at positions 524 to 762 of the family's 1533-position model. The record is from RNAcentral.